GCAGCAAAAAACAAGAAGGGAUUGAAAGGCUCCAUUGAUGAUGUCCUUGGUGACCUCUUGGGGGAUGACAUGGCACCACCCGCGAAGCCUGUUAAAUUGGCUUCACAUGCCCAAGACACCACAGGUGCAGCUCAGCUGCUCCCUUCUUCAAGGACUAGAACAAAGUAAGCACAGGACUGGCUUGGGUGUCCACUACCUCUUUCAUUCCAAAUGUCCCCUUUUCCUCAACCUCCCUACUUCUCAUAUAGUGGGUACUCCUUUUUUUUUUUUUUUAAUUAACUUUUAAUUUUGAAUUGCCUUAGGACUUAACAGGACAGUUACAAAAAUAAUAAACACCCCAUGCAGAGAACUCCAACACAUCCCAUCCUACAUCCACCA
RNAcentral lists this long non-coding RNA (378 nucleotides) under Dasypus novemcinctus (nine-banded armadillo). Its description in RNAcentral is "lncRNA (ENSDNOG00000052785.1)". The record is from RNAcentral. Lineage: Eukaryota; Metazoa; Chordata; Mammalia; Cingulata; Dasypodidae.